RNAcentral lists this ribosomal RNA (112 nucleotides) under uncultured eukaryote. RNAcentral describes it as "partial small subunit ribosomal RNA". It matches the Rfam family "Eukaryotic small subunit ribosomal RNA", at positions 1676 to 1785 of the family's 1831-position model. The record is from RNAcentral.
UCGCACCUACCGAUUGGAUGGUCCGGUGAGAAUUUCGGAUUGUGAUUACGUCGCUUUUAUUAGGGAUGUAGACACGAGAAGUUAUUCAAACCUUACCAUCUAGAGGAAGGUG